ACCAAGAUAGUAAUUCACAUCAUACAUUUUAAAAGACCAACAGUAAUCAACUAUUACCUUUUUACUUACUUACCAGUGUCGUUGGGGGUCUAUAGGGGUUCUCACUACAUAUGGACCAAGUAUCCAUUCUAUUAACCAACCAGUCAUCCCCAUACCCAGUCUGAUAAUGGGCACCAAACACACCGCUAUUUCUAUACCCCAUCUAGUAAUGAACGUAAUCAAACAAUUCCUUAACCCCUUCCGAUAUGGGAUCUCUCAGUCUCGUCCGAUUGAGGGUAAUGACCACGACAGGGUUUACCCUACGUACCAGGUCCGUACACCCUUUCCCAUGAUACCCAGUAAGCCCCUUUAAUUUUUAGCACAUUGCAUAUACAUAGUAG
Molecule: long non-coding RNA, 380 nt
Filed under: Carica papaya (papaya)
Lineage: Eukaryota; Viridiplantae; Streptophyta; Magnoliopsida; Brassicales; Caricaceae
Description: long non-coding RNA (CPAP_LNC004873)
Source: RNAcentral